AGCCCUGCCACCUACCUUUCAGAAAAUACAGGCUGGCUGGCAAGGUGGCUAAUCUGGGAGUUUGUGCCUAGGAAAAUGUGGCUCCCUCGGCCAUUCAAAGCCAAGUUGGAUGAUGUAAGCAAGCAGGACUGAAAAGGAAAGCGAAAUCUUGUCAGCUGCAUUAUUUCCAGGAGCUGGGCUGAGGCUAAGCCGAGGGGCUGGUCCUGCUGCCUGUGCAGAGCCCAGCUCCCUGCACCACCACUGCCUCCCCAGCACAGAGAAUGAGCAUCUGAAGCAAAACUGUGUGAGGACGGGGUAACUGAGAGGGAAUGUCCCUUCCCUGCCAUUUGCCCACAGUUGAUGAAACAGAAAACAUGCAACAUUCAUGGCACUUCAAAGAAAGGAAGAAAAACUAAUUUCUGACUCUACUCCUCUUCUGCCUCAACAAAGCUACUGAUCAGGCACCAAGGACUACCAAGGAAACAUCCUCCCAGGCAGUUACAUCACCCAAAAGUCCCCUACAGUAGCCAGCAGCACAGGAAGCCACUACAAGCAGGUGUGGGUGGAUCAACAGGGAGCUCCUGCGGUGGCAAAUAGGAGGCAGGAUGGAACAUGGAUGGCACGGCUCUUCUCCCUCUUCAGCAGGCUAGUUGGGGUAAGUUCCUUCCUGCAACCCUACCAAAUGACCAAUGAUAAGCCAACACCCUGCUUUUCC
This 694-nucleotide long non-coding RNA is filed under the name Cricetulus griseus (Chinese hamster). Its description in RNAcentral is "lncRNA (ENSCGRG00000026082.1)". Lineage: Eukaryota; Metazoa; Chordata; Mammalia; Rodentia; Cricetidae. The record is from RNAcentral.